UACGUAGGGCGCAAGCGUUGUCCGGAAUUAUUGGGCGUAAAGAGCUCGUAGGCGGCUUGUCACGUCGGGUGUGAAAGCCCGGGGCUUAACCCCGGGUCUGCAUUCGAUACGGGCAGGCUAGAGUGUGGUAGGGGAGAUCGGAAUUCCUGGUGUAGCGGUGAAAUGCGCAGAUAUCAGGAGGAACACCGGUGGCGAAGGCGGCCUGCUGGGACAGUGCUGACGCUGAAGCGCGACAGCGUGGGGAGCAAACAGG
Molecule: ribosomal RNA, 253 nt
Filed under: uncultured bacterium
Lineage: Bacteria
Description: partial 16S ribosomal RNA
Rfam family: Bacterial small subunit ribosomal RNA
Source: RNAcentral